Long non-coding RNA from Passer domesticus (house sparrow), 4658 nucleotides. RefSeq lists it as uncharacterized. The record is from RefSeq and is a predicted model, not a curated record. NCBI's taxonomy places the organism in Eukaryota, Metazoa, Chordata, Aves, Passeriformes, Passeridae. The transcript has 3 exons.
AUUUGAUGUGCAGGGGUGUGGGGGCACAGCACUCUCCCCUCACGGCUUUCCGCUGAGCCUCUCUGGCUCUAGGGCUGGUGUGCACCCCAGGGCAAGGCAAGGACAUUUUUAUGGCAGUUUUCUUGCUCCUAUGCACGUUGGGGUCCCUGCACACCUGCCAGCCCAGGUGCCUCAGCAGAACCCUCCCUGCACCUCAAGAGGAGCUGAGGUGGGAAAAAGGACAUGGUCACCUCAGGGGAAAAAUGGAGCCCAGAGCUACUGCGGCUCUGUGUGGCAUCCCUGGAAGUGAAAAACACCCAGGAAGAGAGGAAGAAAUAGAAAAAGAGACACAAAAUAUGGAGCAGCUAAAGUGCGGGUUACAUUCCUUCCAAAAGGAAGCAUGAACCCAACCUUCAAGGAGGUGCUGCGCCAGGGGAAGCACAACAUGGCCACCCGGCAAGAGGAGCGCUGCCACCAGCCUGGCAGAUGGUGCAUGGCAGCAGUGCCCAGGAGGAGCAGGCCAGGCUGAGAGGAUCCCAGCCCUCAGGGGAAGAAGCCUCCAAGGAAAAGCGGGUAACGCUGGGGAAAAGCAAAAAGGAUGGAGUCAUUAUGGAUUCUGAAAGAAGUAAAAACAAACACCCACCACAGAACACUUGGAAGAACACAGGAGACCCUGCAGCACAGCUCUGCUGUAACAGCCCACUCAUCCCCACAAGCUUUAUCUUUUUGAGUGGAAAAUGUGCUGGCAACAGAGACAAGCUUGUGUGAGAAAUGCAGGCUAAGCCUCCAGGUAAAGUUAAAUGCUAAAACAAGGGCACUGCUGGAGGUAUCAGAAUACAAAACACACAUUGCUUAGUGUGCAGUACAGGCACGUGGCAGCACAUAUGGCACUACACGUGAGCACCAAACAAUAUGCUCAGACCCCAAAGAGUUUGCAGGAAGUCAGAGGUGACAAGUAGGUGACAACAAUAACGUGCAGUGUAAGAAGAAAGUGGAACCAGUGGAGCAUGACAAUGCAUUCACUCCCCCUUGUUCCAGGAUGGAAUAUGGCAUACAGCUGAAAGCAGAGAGGAUUGUCUUCAGCAGAUCCAGGGGUUGUAUCUGGCACUGUCAGGAUAACUACAGCUGUUGGUUUGUUGGUGUUUGUGUUCCCAUCCUGAACUUCUGUGGAUGCUCACUCAACACCUUCUGUGAUUAUGGAAUGAGGAAACCCUGAAAAGCAAAGGUCAUUUUUAGAGGAUCCCAGCUUGAACACAACCCAUAAGGUACAGCAGCAGGUCAGAGUGCUCAUGAUAAACACACUUAAAGUUAAGCAACACUAUAAAGAUUUGAAGUAGCCUCACUUACAGUUCCACCACAAAGACAGUGGCUCUAUUUCACAGACCACCUCGUGUCAGUGCUUUUUUGGAGACUGAGCUAAUACUGCUGCUUGUUAAAUCCUCAGAGUCUUAGGUAAAGUCUUAUUUGAAGUCUGGUUUGUGCCAGUAGCAAAAGUCUCGGUCAUGAAACAGAAUGAAUACCUUUAAAAGUUCAUUUACACAUCAUUUGAAAAGGACUUUUAUUUGGAAAUAGCACUAUACAUAACAAUCUUGAUUGAAAGGCAGAGCUACACAUAAAUAUACACCAGAACACCAGGUGAGGCAGGGGUAUCAGCUUAUGGAAAACUUACUUUUUGUGCUCUGCAGUGCUCUCAGACCACCUCUAAUAUUGCACAACUUUUGCAAUCACAUAAUUUCAUCAAUUUCAGUGGAGUUUCUCCACUUACACUGAUGAAAUAAGGAGGAGACUGCUGUGCCAUAUUUGUACUGGGAGUCAGGGCAGGAUGUCAGGAUCACAGUUUGUCACUUGCCAUGGUGGGCAUAAAAUGAAGAUGAUGUCAGGCCAAAAAACCAGCCUCCAAUAUCAGUCUUAAACACAAGGAUUUAACAAGCAGCAAUUAAAAACCCGUCUUCGAUACAAGAAUCUACAAGUCAAUGGCAUUAAGUUCUCUUGCUGAUUAUCUGGUCUUUGUGAUAUUUAAUUCCCAAUAUUUCAUGGCAAUAUAUUUCUUCUUUCUAGUUGGAGUAUGUGAUUAGAAGUAAAAUCAAGAGCCUUUCAAAAGGUGAAUUAUUUGGAGUGGCUGAAAAUCAUCCCUGUAAGAGACAAGUACUUACAAGUACAAAUCCUACUGAAAAUUAGGAGACAUUGCAGACACACUCCUUGUGCUAGCCCUAGGAGGGGAUCCAAUGUGUGUUUUUAUGGGCUCUAUAAUGGUUAUAAUAUAUAUACCAUUAGUAAUCAUUUUUAAGAAGAGAAGACUUGGAAAAAACUAACACUUCAGUGGAAUGACAUUUCCACUUGCAACUGUCACAGUUAAUGAUUUAUUGAUAAGAUGCAGGUCUUGCUGACUACCAUACAUAUCCUUCACUUCAUUUCCUUUGCAGGCAGCAAGAAUCCAUCAUUCACAUUUUUCUGUUGGCCUACAUCUGUCUAAGGCAGUAUUCGCAGUAUAUAGUACUGGAACAAUAUCAUAUCUCAUAUUAUUAAGUUGAUGUUAUAUGCCCCAUCCUGCUGUUUAGCACUCUCAGUGGGCAAAAGGGAUUCACAAAAUUUUGGAGGUGCAUGAACAUCUGAGACUCUUGAUUGCGGAAAGAAAAAGUACUGAUCAUCUGCAAAAGCAAUCAAUUAUUUUUUACCUUUCUCUCUUCUCACCCACAGUGCAAAAGUGAAGACGUAGACAAAAAGAACAAUGAUAAAGGUGUCAGAAAUGUUUGUGUACAAAGCAAAGUCACACUUCUUUCCAAGGGCGCUAGCAUGGAAAUCUAAAAACCAGUGACAGAGUGGGUUCAGCAUCUCCAGUGAGGCAGUGUCUGUUCACUGACAGCAAACUUCCCUUUGUGCAAAGACCUGUGCCCUAUUUCCACAUCCCUUCAGUGCAGUAUUGGCCCUCUCAGUGGGAAUAAAUGAGUUCUUCAGUUCACUUACCUUCAUUCUAAUUUCUAAUUCACUGACUCCACUCACUGGUCACAGUCAUCUCUUGUUUCUGUCUGGGCAUCAGAACUACUACAACCUCAUAUGACACUCCUCUUAACUGAAUCCUUUUCACAUAAUUGUAGAAAAUAACUUGUAUUUUUGGUAAGGGCAUAAAGAUUAGCUUGAUGUGAGGUACAACAUGGAAAAUUGGGAAGGAAUGCCUAAACUUCUGCCCCUGCAUGCUCAGCACUUUCAAAGGCAAAGUCCCCCUCUUGUCUUUCAAGCUGAAUGUUCAAAAAGGGAAGCAUCCCAAAACAUCAGACACAUUUUGGAAGUCAAAGUGAAUCUUUGCUAUGGCAUAUUUGGUGUCACUGACCGAUUUCCUUUUUGCUCUGCUUUUCCAGGGAUUAAGAUACAGAGAUUACAAAGUCUUUCUUGUAGCCCCUGUAUGAGCAAUAGAAUAGGAGACCCUAUAAAAAACCUCUCAUAUUUAUGUUCAUUAUUUUCAAGAGUUCCAGCUAUUUAUGUGUCUGUAAAUAACCAUUUAGCAGCAGUAGGAGUUCUCCAUGGAGCAAGUCUGUUCUAUUACACUGCAGCACCAGCCUGAAGGAGGAUGCCUGAUCAAGCUGUCAUCUGCAUCUUUCAGACUUCACACCUGCUUGGAGUCAAGACAGUUUUGCAUUCAUAGGCUCUCUCCCUUCAUCACGCUGGCCAAAGCGAUCCUUAAUGGUAGCACUGAGCUGCAACAGCAGGUAAUUCAGACUUGUGAAGAAAGGACCAGCUUCCACUGCUGCAGAUGCAGGCAAAACAACACAGUUCUUACACUGAAACCUUUUCACUGCUAAUACAGCCCCGAAGACAGAGUCUGACUUCCUGCCAUAAUAUGCAUUUAUUCAUUCCUUUAUCACCACAGAGCAAAAGUGGUUUUCACCUGUCACAGAACUCCUGGAACUCGUCUCCAUGUGCCAGUGGCAGAAGGGUUUCUUUGAAAGUCUCACGGGAGAGCCAUUUGCAUGCAGCACGUCGUGGACAUGUUCCAAAUGCUGCUGCACCACAGGCAUACCAAUGCAGAGGCUCAUAAAAUAGGGUUUGUCGUGGCUAGUCCUUGAGAGGUGGCAUAUUGGGGAGAGAAAAAUAAAAGUAUUAACUGAGACUGUAGCCAUUCUCCCCUUAAGAGAAGCGUGUCAUCUGCCCGCCAUUGGCAGGGUGAGCCAGUGCCAGCUGACAGAGACCUCCACACGAGGAAUAUCUGAAGAGACAAGUGGGAGUGUAACAUGGACUAAGCGAUUGAUAUGGAGUGACUCCAAAAUUUGCACAAAUAAUUUCUAAGGCCCUUUAUUCAGGGGGUGCAGAUGCACAUAUCAGGGCAUUUAUAGCUUAGUUUAUGUCUAGUAAGUAAAGUAGCAACUGGGCAAAAAAAGAAAAAGGUCUUUUGCGACACAAAAAGAACUUGCACAACUGUGUUACAGGAUCCAUAUAAAUGCAGGGAUUAAUGGACAGAAAGGCACAUAGUUGAAGAGUGUACUGUAUAUUUUCACUGUAUAUUUUCAGCAUCUUGCUUUUUGGCUAUCACAGAUCCUGUAGCUGGCAGAAAUAACCAGCACUGCAAUUCAUCAUUUUGCUGUAUGGUUGGUCCUUUGCAUUUAUCUUCUUUCACUGAUGUGAUAUAUAAAACUUGGUGAUUUCUGUGUAUUUUAUUUUCUAUUCAAUAAAAUAUGUUUACUGUA